GUCAAUGUGGAGGCUAUAUAUAGGGGUACCAGUACAGAGUCAAUGUGGAGGCUAUAUACAGGGGGUACCGGUACAGAGUCAAUGUGGAGGCUAUAUACAGGGGGUACCGGUACAGAGUCAAUGUGGAGGUUAUAUACAGGGGGUACCGGUACAGAGUCAAUGUGGAGGCUAUAUACAGGGGGUACCGGUACAGAGUCAAUGUGGAGGCUAUAUACAGGGGGUACCGGUACAGAGUCAAUGUGGAGGUUAUAUACAGGGGGUACCGGUACAGAGUCAAUGUGGAGGCUAUAUACAGGGGGUACCGGUACAGAGUCAAUGUGGAGGCUAUAUACAGGGGGUACCGGUACAGAGUCAAUGUGGAGGUUAUAUACAGGGGGUACCAGUACAGAGUCAAUGUGGAGGCUAUAUACAGGGGGUACUGGUACAGAGUCAAUGUGGAGGCUAUA
Molecule: long non-coding RNA, 446 nt
Organism: Oncorhynchus keta (chum salmon)
Lineage: Eukaryota; Metazoa; Chordata; Actinopteri; Salmoniformes; Salmonidae
Exons: 3
Source: RefSeq, a predicted model, not a curated record